CUAUUGUUGAUUGGUGUAGUUCAACAUUGUCACAUGGAGGUACUCUUGAUUCAGCAGUGACCAAAUUCUUUUGGUUGGUUGAGGAGGGCAUAGUGGGAGAUAGAUUGGAUUGUCAAACAUUUUAAGAUUCUUCAAAGAUGCUUUCAUUUCUCAGCUCGAAUGCAAGUACAUGGACCAUUUGGACACGAGCGUUGGCUUGUUUUUGUUCGGUGUGAUUGGGAUCAGUGUGAGUCAAGUGAGUGGGUUGAUAUGUGGGUUCCCGAAUAUCUAACUCCUUUAUCUCAAACAAUAUCCUUGCCAAAUGAUGACAUGGAAAGUUCACUUGAGUAUGACCGUCUAUCAAAUCUUGUACAACCAGGACAUGUUUUUGCAGUUGUUGCACCGCAAGGGAAUGAAGAGAGAUCAGAAUAUUUGUUGGCACGAUGUGUACAGGGAAAACAAAAGCUAACACAACUAGUGACAGAUGAUGACGGGUUCACAUAUCCUACAGGCUCAGUUGUUGUCGUGGGAACUUGGUUGUGAACAUACAUGAUUAGAAAGAAUGACAUACCUACAUUUGAAGACUAUGAGAGACACAAAACCAUUAUAAUGUAUUCACACCUUAUUAUAACUACAAAUGUCAAGUUGUUGAAGCAUCAAGCAAAACCGAAGACCAAAGAGUUAUGGACAGUGACUACUGUUGAUCAUGAAGCAAUACUGGAUACUCUUAAGCAAAGAGAUGACCCUUCAGGCAUACUUGAGUAGUAGGUCUUUAAUGGUGCCUUUUUUUUUUUAUCAUGCAUUUCAUUUCAAACAAUGAUCAUUAAACUUUAAUGUUCAAGUUUGUUACGUGUAUAUUAAGGAUGUGUUUAAAAUGUAGGUCUAUUGAUGAACGUUUUUUUUUGGCAACACGGUUUUUGCAUGCACAUAGUAGGUACGCUCGAUAUAAUUGGAAGGGACAUAUUUUUGCAACACGACUUAUUAUCAUGCAUUUGAGUCACUUUACAAUUUUUGUUAUUAGAGAACACUAUUUGACAAUUUUUUAUGAUAUAAUUAUCGCAAAACCUUUAUGCUCAUGCAGGUCUUUUUUGAUGAUAUACAACAGUAUCACAUUAUGAUUUUUGCGUCAACAUGGUGGGUUCUGUUGAUAUAAUUCAAAGGGACGUAUUUUUAUGAUUCAUGCUAGAUCAUUCGUCGUUGAAAAGAACCUCUCUUGGUGAUGGUACAUAUUCCUUUGUGCAUAAACAUUAAGUCAAGUGAAUGUAUUGCUAUUUAGAAAUAACCAUAUCUACCAUCGUCUUCAACCAUGCAAAGAAAUGCAAUGAGAAGGGUUUUAAUCAACUUGCGUCUUUCUUCAAAGUUAUGCUUGUAUACUUUGCAAAGAAACUGGCAUUGUUGUUCGUAAGCUUUUCUCUUAGGACAUGAGGAUGUUUGAUGCAAAUGAAGUGGGAUGUUGUAUUUGUAUAUGGAUGUGAAUUGAUGUAACUUUGUUAUGAUGAUAUACAAUGUCCAUGAGCAAAUUGGUUUAGUUAUAUUGAUGAUAUACAAUGUAUCUGUACAUGAGUACAUUGGUGUAGUUGUAUUGAUAAUGAAAAAAAAUCAUGUUUGCAUAUCCCUUCAUGGA
Cryptomeria japonica (Japanese cedar) is the source of this 1603-nucleotide long non-coding RNA. RefSeq lists it as uncharacterized. The transcript is spliced from 3 exons. NCBI's taxonomy places the organism in Eukaryota, Viridiplantae, Streptophyta, Pinopsida, Cupressales, Cupressaceae. The record is from RefSeq and is a predicted model, not a curated record.